Paramuricea clavata is the source of this 290-nucleotide non-coding RNA. NCBI's taxonomy places the organism in Eukaryota, Metazoa, Cnidaria, Anthozoa, Malacalcyonacea, Plexauridae. The record is from the annotation of a GenBank genome assembly.
GUAGAGCAUUGGGCUAGUAUUCCAAAGGUCAUAGGUUCGAUUCACACCGUGGUCAGGCAUAUUUUUCAGGCAGAGUAACAUCACAAACAUCAAAGAAAUAACUGUUUUUAUAAUUGAGAUGCAUUAUCUGUCUGGAUGUAUUAACGCUCAAAUUUGUCCAAACAGAUAUAACAAUUCUCUCUGGUAUAAAAACAGCCAAUUGUACAUGUAAUUGUUUAUAUACUAGAUGGAAUAGGACACGUUCUACAAAGCUAAAUCAUGUGCAGAGCUCGAAACAACGAAAGCUAGCA